UAAGCCCAAUAAUGAUCCUUCC
RNAcentral lists this ribosomal RNA (22 nucleotides) under Steinernema sp. CS11. RNAcentral describes it as "partial 28S ribosomal RNA". Lineage: Eukaryota; Metazoa; Nematoda; Chromadorea; Rhabditida; Steinernematidae. The record is from RNAcentral.